Molecule: ribosomal RNA, 576 nt
Filed under: uncultured bacterium
Lineage: Bacteria
Description: partial 16S ribosomal RNA
Rfam family: Bacterial small subunit ribosomal RNA
Source: RNAcentral
UGGGGAAUUUUGGACAAUGGGCGAAAGCCUGAUCCAGCAAUGCCGCGUGUGUGAAGAAGGCCUUCGGGUUGUAAAGCACUUUUGUCCGGAAAGAAAUCCUUGGCUCUAAUACAGUCGGGGGAUGACGGUACCGGAAGAAUAAGCACCGGCUAACUACGUGCCAGCAGCCGCGGUAAUACGUAGGGUGCAAGCGUUAAUCGGAAUUACUGGGCGUAAAGCGUGCGCAGGCGGUUUGCUAAGACCGAUGUGAAAUCCCCGGGCUCAACCUGGGAACUGCAUUGGUGACUGGCAGGCUAGAGUAUGGCAGAGGGGGGUAGAAUUCCACGUGUAGCAGUGAAAUGCGUAGAGAUGUGGAGGAAUACCGAUGGCGAAGGCAGCCCCCUGGGCCAAAUACUGACGCUCAUGCACGAAAGCGUGGGGAGCAAACAGGAUUAGAUACCCUGGUAGUCCACGCCCUAAACGAUGUCAACUAGUUGUUGGGGAUUCAUUUCCUUAGUAACGUAGCUAACGCGUGAAGUUGACCGCCUGGGGAGUACGGUCGCAAGAUUAAAACUCAAAUGAAUUGACGGGGUCAUA